AUUGAACGCUGGCGGCAUGCUUUACACAUGCAAGUCGGACGGCAGCGGGGUAGUGCUUGCACUACUGCCGGCGAGUGGCGAACGGGUGAGUAAUAUAUUGGAACGUACCGAGUAAUGGGGGAUAACCAAUCGAAAGAUUGGCUAAUACCGCAUACGCUCUGAGGAGGAAAGCAGGGGACCUUCGGGCCUUGCGUUAUUCGAGCGGCCAAUAUCUGAUUAGCUAGUUGGUGGGGUAAAGGCCUACCAAGGCGACGAUCAGUAGCGGGUCUGAGAGGAUGAUCGGCCACACUGGAACUGAGACACGGUCCAGACUCCUACGGGAGGCAGCAGUAGGGAAUCUUCCGCAAUGGGCGAAAGCCUGACGGAGCAACGCCGCGUGAGUGAUGAAGGUCUUCGGAUCGUAAAACUCUGUUAUUAGGGAAGAACAAACGUGUAAGUAACUGUGCACGUCUUGACGGUACCUAAUCAGAAAGCCACGGCUAACUACGUGCCAGCAGCCGCGGUAAUACGUAGGUGGCAAGCGUUAUCCGGAAUUAUUGGGCGUAAAGCGCGCGUAGGCGGUUUUUUAAGUCUGAUGUGAAAGCCCACGGCUCAACCGUGGAGGGUCAUUGGAAACUGGAAAACUUGAGUGCAGAAGAGGAAAGUGGAAUUCCAUGUGUAGCGGUGAAAUGCGCAGAGAUAUGGAGGAACACCAGUGGCGAAGGCGACUUUCUGGUCUGUAACUGACGCUGAUGUGCGAAAGCGUGGGGAUCAAACAGGAUUAGAUACCCUGGUAGUCCACGCCGUAAACGAUGAGUGCUAAGUGUUAGGGGGUUUCCGCCCCUUAGUGCCGCAGCUAACGCAUUAAACACUCCGCCUGGGGAGUACGCACGCAAGUGUGAAACUCAAAGGAAUUGACGGGGACCCGCACAAGCAGCGGAGCAUGUGGUUUAAUUCGAAGCAACGCGAAGAACCUUACCAAGUCUUGACAUAUUUUGGAAGCACUUAGAGAUAAGAGCCUAUAUCUUCGGAUAACUGAAAUACAGGUGGUGCAUGGUUGUCGUCAGCUCGUGUCGUGAGAUGUUGGGUUAAGUCCCAUAACGAGCGCAGCCCCUUUUGCUAGUUACCAUCAUUAAGUUGGGGACUCUAGCAAUACUGCCGGUGACAAACCGGAGGAAGGUGGGGAUGACGUCAAAUCAUCAUGCCCUUUAUGACUUGGGCUACACACGUGCUACAAUGGCAGGUACAGAGGGCCGCAAGACAGCGAUGUUAAGCAAAACUCAAAAAGCCUGUCCCAGUUCGGAUUGCACUCUGCAACUCGAGUGCAUGAAGUUGGAGUUGCUAGUAAUCGUGGAUCAGAAUGCCACGGUGAAUGCGUUCCCGGGUCU
This 1367-nucleotide ribosomal RNA is filed under the name uncultured bacterium. RNAcentral's name for it is "partial 16S ribosomal RNA". It matches the Rfam family "Bacterial small subunit ribosomal RNA", at positions 28 to 1381 of the family's 1533-position model. The record is from RNAcentral.